GAUCGGGAUAACACCUGGAAACAGAUGCUAAUACCGGAUAAUAACAGAUGAUGCCUAUCAACUGUUUAAAAGAUGGUUCUGCUAUCACUCUUGGAUGGACCUGCGGUGCAUUAGCUAGUUGGUAGGGUAACGGCCUACCAAGGCGAUGAUGCAUAGCCGAGUUGAGAGACUGAUCGGCCACAUUGGGACUGAGACACGGCCCAAACUCCUACGGGAGGCAGCAGCC
RNAcentral lists this ribosomal RNA (226 nucleotides) under uncultured Lactobacillus sp. RNAcentral describes it as "partial 16S ribosomal RNA". It matches the Rfam family "Bacterial small subunit ribosomal RNA", at positions 136 to 355 of the family's 1533-position model. The record is from RNAcentral. Lineage: Bacteria; Bacillati; Bacillota; Bacilli; Lactobacillales; Lactobacillaceae.